RNAcentral lists this ribosomal RNA (253 nucleotides) under uncultured bacterium. Its description in RNAcentral is "partial 16S ribosomal RNA". It matches the Rfam family "Bacterial small subunit ribosomal RNA", at positions 524 to 776 of the family's 1533-position model. The record is from RNAcentral.
GACGAACCGUGCAAACGUUAUUCGGAAUCACUGGGCCUAAAGGGCGCGUAGGCGGCUUCAUAAGUCAGGGGUGAAAUCCGGCAGCUUAACUGUCGCAGUGCCUUUGAUACUGUGGAGCUCGAGGGAGGUAGGGGUCUGUGGAACUUCCGGUGGAGCGGUGAAAUGCGUUGAUAUCGGAAGGAACGCCGGUGGCGAAAGCGACGGACUGGAUCUCUUCUGACGCUGAGGCGCGAAAGCCAGGGGAGCAAACGGG